Molecule: RNA transcript, 2486 nt
Organism: Triplophysa dalaica
Lineage: Eukaryota; Metazoa; Chordata; Actinopteri; Cypriniformes; Nemacheilidae
Gene: ush1c
Gene name: Usher syndrome 1C
Exons: 21
Source: RefSeq, a predicted model, not a curated record
CGAAAGUGACGCGCGUCCCCGCCACUACCGCACGAGCAUAACAACCGGCCGGGACCGUUGACAAACACUGCUGUUCACCAUGGAGCGAAAAGUGGCUAGGGAAUUUCGACAUAAGGUGGAGUUAUUGGUUGAUAAUGAAGCAGAGAAGGACUAUCUCUAUGAUGUUCUACGCAUGUACCACCAAUCGAUGGAACUGCCUGUCCUGGUCGGCGACCUGAAGCUGGUGAUUAAUGAGCCCAAACGCCUUCCACUCUUUGAUGCCAUCAGACCCUUGAUUCCUCUAAAACACCAAGUGCAGUAUGACCAGCUCACGCCCAAGAGAUCCAGAAAGUUGAAGGAAGUGCGUCUGGACCGCACACACCCUGAGGGUCUGGGUUUGAGCGUUCGAGGUGGGCUGGAGUUCGGCUGUGGUCUCUUUAUCUCACAGACAGUCAAAGAUGGACAGGCAGGAAAUGUUGGGCUACAGGUUGGCGAUGAGAUCGUGCGCAUUAACGGCUACUCCAUCUCCUCUUGCAUUCACGAGGAGGUCAUCAACCUCAUCAAAACCAAGAAGACCGUCUCUCUGAAAGUCCGCCAUGUGGGAAUGAUUCCUGUCAAAAGCUCCUCCGAAGACCCUCUGAAGUGGCAGUUUGUGGAUCAGUUUGCUUCGGAGUCAGGGGAGAAGAAGACCAGCGUGGCUGGUUUGACUUCAAUUGGAGGAAAAGAGAUCAAGGAAAAGAAAGUGUUCCUUAGUUUAGUGGGCACUAAAGGCAUGGGAAUCAGCAUAUCAAGUGGACCAACACAGAAACCAGGGAUCUAUGUGAGCAAUGUGAAGGCAGGGUCACUCUCUGCAGAAGUGGGUUUACAGGUCGGCGACCAGAUUGUUGAAGUCAAUGGGGUGGAUUUUGCCAACCUGAGUCACCAAGAAGCAGUGCAAGUGUUAAAGAGCAGCCGCAGCCUGACCAUCACUGUUCUCACUGGAGCUGGAAGCGAGCUGUUUAUGACAGAUGAGGAGCGCUUGGCGGCUGAAGCUCGACAUCAGCUUCAGAGACAGGAGCUAAUGCAUCAGAAGAAAGUGGCAUUAGAGACCAACAAGAUCAUCAAAGAACAACAGGAGAACGAACGAAUGAGGAAGAUGGAGAUAACACAGAAGACUGCAGAGGAAGAGGAACGCUAUCAGAAAGACAUGGAGAGAAUUCAAGCAGCAGAGAGGAAACACCAUAAAGAAUGGGAAGAAGACUGGGGCUCCAAGGAAAAAUCCAAAACUCCCUCACGGUCCCCAUCCCGCUCUCCCUCCCCCCAACCGCCGGCACACCGCUCACCUUCACCAAAACCUAAAACCUCAAGCGCCGAGCACUCAGAUGAAGAGGAGGAAGCAGAAGGAUUCCAGAAAUAUGUGGAUGAUUUUGAUCCAUAUUCAAUGUUCACGGCUGAGCAGAUAGCUGGAAGAGAUGUGCGACUACUGAGAAUUAAGAAGGACGGAAAGCUCGAUCUGGCUAUAGAGGGAGGCAUUGACUCCCCACUGGGAAAGAUUGUGGUGUCGUCCAUCUAUGAAGGAGGUGCAGCAGAUAAACACGGUGGUGUUGUGGCCGGUGAUGAGAUCAUGGCUGUGAAUGGAAAGAUACUGACAGAUGGGACUUUGGCUGAAGGACAGACCUCAAUGGCUCAAGCCUGGAACAGUGGAGGGUAACCUCAUAGCAAUGCUAAAGCAACCACCCUAGGAAGUGAGUCCUGCAUGGGUAAGUAAUACAUAAUAAUAAUAAUAAUUUAUCCUUCAUUGUUACCGACUAUCCUAACAUUUACCCAUUAUUAAAAUUUCCAUCAUUCAUGAAAAUAACAUAUAUUUGUGUGCGUUUCACUUUUUCACUUUCACAUUUAUUUUUUUGAUUCCAUAAUGCAUACAUCUAUAAACGUGCAGACGCCUAAGCUCAUAUCUUAUUACAUUUCAUUCCAUUUGACAAAAUGAUGCAUCCUUUUCUCAAUAAUGAACCCAUUAUGCAGUGUAAUAGUCUAGUCCUACAGAUUUAAUGUUUUAUGUCUCCCCCCAAAAAAGGAUGUGUUGCAAUAAUUACUUCAUUAGGCAGCAUAAAAUAUAGAUGAAGCGUUAAAGCAGAAAAUUGCGUUGCAACAUAUUAUGCCGUUGUGUGUUAAAUUUAUCAUGCCAGGCUGAUGUCGAUGCUGUCUUCUACAAUCAUAUAAGUGUGGUUUUGAGUAAAAGAAUACUUUUGAGAUUACAUUUGAUAGGGGAAUUAUAUUUGACUUUAUCAGACUCUUGAUGUGUUUGUUUCUUUAUGUGUGUGAUCAGGACUGGAUAGACUUGGUGAUCGCAGUGUCCCCGCCCAAGGAAUAUGAAGACGAAGUAACAUUCUUUUGAGGACCUGUCAAUGAAACCACAGUGAACAGAAAAUCCCAUGACGAAUCAGAAGAUAGUUUUUAUAUUUUGCACAUCCUUCACUUAUUGUGCAUUAACUGUGCAGAUACGAAUUGAAUAAAUGAAGUAAAAUACA